GACGAACGCUGGCGGCGUGCCUAAUACAUGCAAGUUGAGCGAUGAAGAUUGGUGCUUGCACCAAUUUGAAGAGCAGCGAACGGGUGAGUAACGCGUGGGGAAUCUGCCUUUGAGCGGGGGACAACAUUUGGAAACGAAUGCUAAUACCGCAUAACAACUUUAAACAUAAGUUUUAAGUUUGAAAGAUGCAAUUGCAUCACUCAAAGAUGAUCCCGCGUUGUAUUAGCUAGUUGGUGAGGUAAAGGCUCACCAAGGCGAUGAUACAUAGCCGACCUGAGAGGGUGAUCGGCCACAUUGGGACUGAGACACGGCCCAAACUCCUACGGGAGGCAGCAGUAGGGAAUCUUCGGCAAUGGACGAAAGUCUGACCGAGCAACGCCGCGGGAGUGAAGAAGGUUUUCGGAUCGUAAAACUCUGUUGGUAGGGAAGAACGUUGGUGAGAGUGGAAAGCUCAUCAAGUGACGGUAACUACCCAGAAAGGGACGGCUAACUACGUG
RNAcentral lists this ribosomal RNA (497 nucleotides) under uncultured bacterium. RNAcentral's name for it is "partial 16S ribosomal RNA". It matches the Rfam family "Bacterial small subunit ribosomal RNA", at positions 28 to 507 of the family's 1533-position model. The record is from RNAcentral.